ACAUACGGGUGCUGCAUGGCUGUCGUCAGCUCGUGUCGUGAGAUGUUCGGUUAAGUCCGCUAACGAGCGCAACCCUCGCUGUGUGUUACAAGUGUCACACGGAACUGCCGGUCAUAACCGGAGGAAGGUGGGGAUGACGUCAAGUCAGCAUGGCCUUUAUAUCCUGGGCUACACACACGCUACAAUGGGAAGGGACAAUAGGUUGCGAAGCCGCGAGGCGGAGCCAAUCCAGCAAAACUUCCCUCAGUUCAGAUUGCAGGCUGCAACUCGCCUGCAUGAAGUUGGAGUUGCUAGUAAACGCAGGUCAGCCAUACUGCGUUGAAUACGUUCCCGGGGCUU
Molecule: ribosomal RNA, 339 nt
Filed under: uncultured Anaerolineaceae bacterium
Lineage: Bacteria; Bacillati; Chloroflexota; Anaerolineae; Anaerolineales; Anaerolineaceae
Description: bacterial SSU rRNA
Rfam family: Bacterial small subunit ribosomal RNA
Source: RNAcentral